Small nucleolar RNA from Dioscorea cayenensis subsp. rotundata (Guinea yam), 107 nucleotides. The record is from RefSeq and is a predicted model, not a curated record. Lineage: Eukaryota; Viridiplantae; Streptophyta; Magnoliopsida; Dioscoreales; Dioscoreaceae.
AAACCAUAUUGAGGACAUUUAUUCAUGAGCUCCUUGAAUCAAUCCCAUUUCUCCAAAAGAGACUCCAAUUCCUCUUGCACAUAAUAAGAUAUCUCAUUCCUAAGCUU